RNAcentral lists this ribosomal RNA (468 nucleotides) under uncultured bacterium. Its description in RNAcentral is "partial 16S ribosomal RNA". It matches the Rfam family "Bacterial small subunit ribosomal RNA", at positions 28 to 507 of the family's 1533-position model. The record is from RNAcentral.
GACGAACGCUGGCGGCGUGCUUAACACAUGCAAGUCGAACGGAAAGGCCCUGCUUUUGCGGGGUGCUCGAGUGGCGAACGGGUGAGUAACACGUGAGUAACCUGCCCUUGACUUUGGGAUAACUUCAGGAAACUGGGGCUAAUACCGGAUAGGAUCUCCUGCUGCAUGGUGGGGGUUGGAAAGUUUCGGCGGUUGGGGAUGGACUCGCGGCUUAUCAGCUUGUUGGUGGGGUAGGGGCUUACCAAGGCUUUGACGGGUAGCCGGCCUGAGAGGGUGACCGGCCACAUUGGGCCUGAGAUACGGCCCAGACUCCUACGGGCGGCAGCAGUGGGGAAUAUUGCACAAUGGGCGGAAGCCUGAUGCAGCAGCGCCGCGUGCGGGAUGACGGCCUUCGGGUUGUAAACCGCUUUCGCCUGUGACGAAGCGUGAGUGACGGUAAUGGGUAAAGAAGCACCGGCUAACUACGUG